RNAcentral lists this ribosomal RNA (279 nucleotides) under Campylobacteraceae bacterium. RNAcentral's name for it is "partial 23S ribosomal RNA". It matches the Rfam family "Bacterial large subunit ribosomal RNA", at positions 2637 to 2925 of the family's 2925-position model. The record is from RNAcentral. Lineage: Bacteria; Pseudomonadati; Campylobacterota; Epsilonproteobacteria; Campylobacterales; Campylobacteraceae.
CCUAUCUGCCGUGGGCGCAGGAAGAUUGAGGAGAGUUGCCCCUAGUACGAGAGGACCGGGGUGAACGAACCACUGGUGUACCAGUUGUCCCGCCAGGGGCACCGCUGGGUAGCUAUGUUCGGAUGUGAUAACCGCUGAAAGCAUCUAAGCGGGAAGCCAACUCCAAGAUUAAUCUUCCCUGAAGAUCCGUUGAAGACUACAACGUUGAUAGGCUGGGUGUGUAAGUGGUGAAAGCCAUUUAGCUGACCAGUACUAAUAGAUCGUUUGUCUUACUUACAA